Molecule: transfer RNA, 68 nt
Filed under: Tragulus kanchil
Lineage: Eukaryota; Metazoa; Chordata; Mammalia; Artiodactyla; Tragulidae
Also listed under: 1 other name
Description: tRNA-Ala
Rfam family: tRNA
About the family: Transfer RNA (tRNA) molecules are approximately 80 nucleotides in length. Their secondary structure includes four short double-helical elements and three loops (D, anti-codon, and T loops).
Source: RNAcentral
GGGAUUUAGCUUAAUUAAAGUGGUCGAUUUGCAUUCGAUUGAUGUAAGAUGAAGUCUUGCAGUCCUUA